AAAGAAGUUAGAGGUCGCAACUUUAAUCAGUAGUACUUCAGAAGUUUGAUGAAACAUAUGUUGAAAGUACGAAAGGUAACGUUGCCGAAACAAAGCGUAUUCAUCGUACGUUUUGUUGGGCCAAUUGCCGAAAGGAAUUGGACUGUCACAACAUGUGAUGUGCUACCUAUAUA
Molecule: non-coding RNA, 173 nt
Filed under: Staphylococcus massiliensis
Lineage: Bacteria; Bacillati; Bacillota; Bacilli; Caryophanales; Staphylococcaceae
Also listed under: 1 other name
Description: Lysine sequence
Rfam family: Lysine riboswitch aptamer
About the family: Riboswitches are metabolite binding domains within certain messenger RNAs that serve as precision sensors for their corresponding targets.
Source: RNAcentral